Pungitius pungitius (ninespine stickleback) is the source of this 558-nucleotide long non-coding RNA. RefSeq lists it as uncharacterized. NCBI's taxonomy places the organism in Eukaryota, Metazoa, Chordata, Actinopteri, Perciformes, Gasterosteidae. The transcript is spliced from 3 exons. The record is from RefSeq and is a predicted model, not a curated record.
ACCACGUUGUUCGGGAUUCCCUGCAUUUUAAUUCGUAAUGACAGAUCAUAAAGUCUGCUGAAAUCACUGGAGGUUUUUGCUAGUUGGACCCUGCUCAUUAAUAUUUUGUGGCCCCGCCCCAACUCUUCCUGGUUGUCCGGUGUCAGAUCAAAGAAGGACCCAAACGCAGGACUCCAUGCAGGCAGGUUGAAUUGAAAGGAAAGAAAAGCAGGACAAGGGACAGCAGCAAACGGAGGGAGACCAGCUGGCACUGACAAUCAGAAACACUGAAUACACAAGAUGAUAAUCCACUAAUGACACACAGGUGGGGUGGAAAACUGGUGGGAAAAGGACCACGACAGGAAGUAACCCCAAACUGGACACAGGAGGGGGCCGAUGGUGUUAUGGCAGGGCGCCGCUGGAUUAAUUAGUAUUAGAUGGUGAAGGAUUUCUUUCCUCUCGGCGCCGCUUCAAGAGGCACAGAACAUGCAGAGAGGCAAAUUGAGACCGGAGCGUUCUAUUUAUUAAUGUAGAGAAAUCUAACUCAAAAGCACUGUGGACAUUUGCAACAAGGCACUU